RNAcentral lists this long non-coding RNA (3013 nucleotides) under Triticum aestivum (bread wheat). Its description in RNAcentral is "long non-coding RNA (TAES_LNC002969)". Lineage: Eukaryota; Viridiplantae; Streptophyta; Magnoliopsida; Poales; Poaceae. The record is from RNAcentral.
UGGAAGCAAAAUUUCACCCAUUUGGUAAAUCACCAUUUACCUGAAAGGCUGAACCUAUCGCAACCUUUUACGUUGUGAUGAAGAACUACAUUAUAUCUUGUGCAGACAAAAGGUAAAAUUGGUGCAUAUCUUGCCGCGGGAAGGACAUUGUAACGCAAAGGAAAUGAGAACGGAUCCUCUUAGGACAAUGUUUUUGCCGUAGGAACCUACAGCAGGAAAUAGCUGUCCUGAACCAUUUACAGGGCAGAAAAAAAAUUCAAAGGCGAGAAUUUAACAAGGAAUCAUGAGGCCAGCAGUGAGUUCUGAGAUUUUUAUUUUUGCGAAAGUAACUAUGUAGAGCAUCGCGGUUUCUAAGUCUUCACAUGCAAAAUUCUAAGAUGCAGGAUGCCUAUCAAUUUGACCUGAGAGGCGUAUAUGUGUGCAUUAAGUAAGAGCUUAUGUGGAAGAAAAGUUAAACUGCUCAAGGAAACAUACAGUUGAGAAAAUAAAUUCACUCCCCCCUCCCCCUUUUCGUACCCGGAAAGACUCUUUUAUCCAAGUAGAUGUAGGAACAAAAAUUAUCCUGAUUUAUGGGGAAAUCUAUGUAAAUAGAAAGAAAUAUUUAUGGUAAACACCGAAUACAUGUUGUCGGAAUCCAGACACCAUAUGUAUCCAGUAAAGUGCAUACAUGACAAAUCAAAGGCAAGAAUCUAAUGGGCCAUCAGACUCAACUUCAUAGAAAAAAAAACAUGGGUACCCAUGUUUAUAUUCCAUUGAACAUUAAAAAUAGCAUCAGGAGGCCAUUAAAAUUAUUAUGACUUCACUAUGUAUAGAAAAGGAACAUCAAAAAAAUAUCAAGAUAAACCGCAGCCCAAGAUAUCACUUAAACCGCAUCCCAACCAAAAAAGAGAUGAACUGUAGCAUGCUAAACCUCCACAUCAUUAAUUUGUUCAGAGGCGGUGCUUCAGAAAAAGGAGGGAAAUAUAUCCGUGUUUUGUUUAGUUCACAGAACUUGGCACCAUAUUGCUAGAUUAUUCUCUGUCAAGAUUCCGUCGCACACAAUUUGAAAUCAACAUUCAUUGUGCGCCUUUGGGUACUGCAGAGAAUGAUCUAACGAAAGCGAUCACCUUAAGUCUGAUUUAAAGCUAAUAAAUAUCAGAAUAGCAUAACACAACAUAAGUUAGAGUGCCUCUAAUUAACUUAGAAACAAACCUCAAUGACCAGAUCCAGUUUUAUAUUUGUAGUACAGUAAUAGCCACAGCACAAACACCAAAAAGAGUAGUUCUGUAAGGAUUUCUAAGAAUCAGAAUUGUUUUGGAAACACCAAAAUCAUUUUUUUGGGGCUGAAAAAAAUCUCAAAUCUUAAUAGACAUGUACUUUUCAUUUUUUUAAGGAAUUCAUAUUUGCAGUACAGCAGUAGUCACAGCCAAACACUAAAAGAGCCAACCAUUAUCAAAAUAUUCAGUCUUACACUACUUUGUGGAAGCAAAAUUUCACCCAUUUGGUAAAUCACCAUUUACCUGAACGGCUGAACCUAUGGCAACCAUUUAUGUUGUGAAGAAAUACAUCAUAUGCUGUCAAACCAUUGAGUUGCAAGACACUUAUAGUCACACCACAAAACAGUAAACCGAUGUGAGCACAUUUCGAACUCAGCAUAUAUUAUAUUCAAUUUAUUUAUCAAACGAGCCAAUUACAUUCUAACUUGUCGACUUUAAUACAUGAAUUGGACUCUGUCCUACAAGAACAUGGCCCAUCACUUGGCAUAAACACAUCGAAAUAGUUCUGGGCUGAUUCGACUCGAACCGGAAGAUAAAUAGAGGAGAGGAGGAACUCUUUCUACAAGACUUGGAAGAUUCAACUAGAUGACAGCGAGGUAGAAGAACUCCUGGCCAUCAGCACCUCAUCUUCCCUGGCUUCGCCUUCCAUGUGUGAUUUAGCAAGAGUCGAGCGAAGGAUCGGGUGUUUACAGAGCGGACAAGGUGAAAGGAGAGGUUUUUCGGUCUGCCGAUGAACUCUUCAUAUCGUGGCAAGGCGCAAAGACGAGAGCAGAAAACAUAAAGCUAAGGAAAGCCUUUAGUCCCAAACAAGUUGGGGUAGGCUAGAGGUGAAACCCAUAAGGUCUCACAACCAACUCAUGGUUCUGGAAACAAUGCAAGAUAGGGAAAACUAUGGUUUUAUUCAUAUCGUGCCGCCCUCCACCCACUCUCCGGCUUACAUACUGCCGUGGGCCACGAUAUUACAGGAAACAACUAUAGUACUAAGCACUAACUGAAAAUGACCAGGCUAGCUAACUAAAGAAACUGACUGACAUGACCAUGCUAGCUAACUGAAGAAAGUGAGUGACAUUCCAGCACAUCCCCCUUGACUUCUGACUUGAUUACUUGUGGUAGCCUCGCCUCCUCGACGCCGCAGUGUUCCGACAUUACCAGAAAAAAUAAGAGAAAAUAGGUUAUUCAUAUGAUCUAGAAAGAAUACUCUGCAAUCCAAUAGACACAAACAGGCUGACCUUCUUCAGAGACUUGGGCAAGCAGGCCUCAGGAUUUAGCAUCGAUGGACUAGAAGAUGGUGAAGUAAACCAGCUCCUCGACAGACAAAGCCUCGCGCUCCAGAAUGCCUUCGUCUUCUUCCGCGGCAACCUGCUGAACCGCCUCCUCGGCACGGCAGUCCGGCGCCUCCGUCAUCACGAUGCAGCCGCGGCGGCAGGAAGAGGAAGCCGGACCUCGCCGGCGGCGCAGGGCGAGCCUGCGGUCGGAGACCGCCGACGACGACGAGAUCCUCGUCGGCGGAUCUCUUCUUCCCGGCGAGCGAGAGCUGGUCCACCAACGUGAGCGUCACGCUCAUGCCAUGGAUGUCGACGCACGCCAUAUCCGGCACCGGCGGAUGAAUCGGCGAAAUCGAAAUCAAAAGUGGAUCUUUGGAGCAGCAAAGGGCGCGGGAGGAAGAAAGAGCGAGGGAAAGGGGAUUAGGUCAGGGAUUUGGGAUUUAUCGAUCUGAAAUACGCCUUUUGCGUAGAAUACAAGCUAAUACGACCUCG